RNAcentral lists this ribosomal RNA (466 nucleotides) under uncultured bacterium. RNAcentral's name for it is "partial 16S ribosomal RNA". It matches the Rfam family "Bacterial small subunit ribosomal RNA", at positions 30 to 507 of the family's 1533-position model. The record is from RNAcentral.
CGAACGCUGGCGGCGUGCUUAACACAUGCAAGUCGAACGGAAAGGCCCUGCUUUUGUGGGGUGCUCGAGUGGCGAACGGGUGAGUAACACGUGAGUAACCUGCCCUUGACUUUGGGAUAACUUCAGGAAACUGGGGCUAAUACCGGAUAGGAGCUCCUGCUGCAUGGUGGGGGUUGGAAAGUUUCGGCGGUUGGGGAUGGACUCGCGGCUUAUCAGCUUGUUGGUGGGGUAGUGGCUUACCAAGGCUUUGACGGGUAGCCGGCCUGAGAGGGUGACCGGCCACAUUGGGACUGAGAUACGGCCAAGACUCCUACGGGAGGCAGCAGUGGGGAAUAUUGCACAAGGGGCGGAAGCCUGAUGCAGCAACGCCGCGUGCGGGAUGACGGCCUUCGGGUUGUAAACCGCUUUCGCCUGUGACGAAGCGUGAGUGACGGUAAUGGGUAAAGAAGCACCGGCUAACUACGUG